UAGGGAAUCUUCCGCAAUGGACGCAAGUCUGACGGAGCAACGCCGCGUGAGUGAAGAAGGUUUUCGGAUCGUAAAGCUCUGUUGUUAAGGAAGAACGAGUGUGAGAAUGGAAAGUUCAUACUGUGACGGUACUUAACCAGAAAGGGACGGCUAACUACGUGCCAGCAGCCGCGGUAAUACGUAGGUCCCGAGCGUUGUCCGGAUUUAUUGGGCGUAAAGCGAGCGCAGGCGGUCAAUUAAGUCUGAUGUGAAAGCCCCCGGCUCAACCGGGGAGGGUCAUUGGAAACUGGUUGACUUGAGUGCAGAAGAGGAGAGUGGAAUUCCAUGUGUAGCGGUGAAAUGCGUAGAUAUAUGGAGGAACACCAGUGGCGAAGGCGACUCUCUGGUCUGUAACUGACGCUGAGGCUCGAAAGCGUGGGGAGCGAACAGG
Molecule: ribosomal RNA, 430 nt
Filed under: Bacteroidota bacterium
Lineage: Bacteria; Pseudomonadati; Bacteroidota
Description: Bacteroidetes bacterium partial 16S ribosomal RNA
Rfam family: Bacterial small subunit ribosomal RNA
Source: RNAcentral